Molecule: transfer RNA, 72 nt
Filed under: Pestalotiopsis fici W106-1
Lineage: Eukaryota; Fungi; Ascomycota; Sordariomycetes; Amphisphaeriales; Sporocadaceae
Description: tRNA-Arg (TCT) (tRNA-Arg-TCT-2-1)
Rfam family: tRNA
About the family: Transfer RNA (tRNA) molecules are approximately 80 nucleotides in length. Their secondary structure includes four short double-helical elements and three loops (D, anti-codon, and T loops). Further hydrogen bonds mediate the characteristic L-shaped molecular structure. tRNAs have two regions of fundamental functional importance: the anti-codon, which is responsible for specific mRNA codon recognition, and the 3' end, to which the tRNAs corresponding amino acid is attached (by aminoacyl-tRNA synthetases). tRNAs cope with the degeneracy of the genetic code in two manners: having more than one tRNA (with a specific anti-codon) for a particular amino acid; and 'wobble' base-pairing, i.e. permitting non-standard base-pairing at the 3rd anti-codon position.
Source: RNAcentral
GCCCCGCUGGCUCAAUGGUAGAGCAUUAGACUUCUAAUCUAAAGGUUGCGGGUUCGAUCCCCGCGUGGGGUU